Molecule: ribosomal RNA, 677 nt
Filed under: Rhizobium changzhiense
Lineage: Bacteria; Pseudomonadati; Pseudomonadota; Alphaproteobacteria; Hyphomicrobiales; Rhizobiaceae
Description: partial 16S ribosomal RNA
Source: RNAcentral
CGUGGGAAUCUACCCUUGACUAAAGAAAAACGCAGGGAAACUUGUSCUWAUACCGUAUGUGUCCUUCGGGAGAAAGAUUUAUCGGUCAAGGAUGAGCCCGCGUUGGAUUAGCUAGUUGGUGGGGYAAAGGCCUACCAAGGCGACGAUCCAUAGCUGGUCUGAGAGGAUGAUCAGCCACAUUGGGACUGAKACACGGCCCAAACUCCUACGGGAGGCAGCAGUGGGGAAUAUUGGACAAWGGGCGCAAGCCUGAUCCAKCCAUGCCGCGUGAGUGAUGAAGGCCCUAGGGUUGUAAAGCUCUUUCACCGGASAAKAUAAUGACGGUAUCCGGAGAAGAAGCCCCGGCUAACUUCGUGCCAKCAGCCGCGGUAAUACGAAGGGGGCUAGCGUUGUUCGGAAUUACUGGGCGUAWAGCGCACGUAGGCGGAUCGAUCAGUCAGGGGUGAAAUCCCAGGGCUCAACCCUGGAACUGCCUUUGAUACUGUCGWUCUGGAGUAUGGAAGAGGUGAGUGGAAUUCCGAGUGUAGAGGUGAAAUUCGUAGAUAUUCGGAGGAACACCAGUGGCGAAGGCGGCUCACUGGUCCAUUACUGACGCUGAGGUGCGAAAKCGUGGGGGARCAAACAKGAWUUAMAUACCCUGGUAGUCCACGCCSUAAWCGAUGAAAUGUUAKYCCGUC